CUUCUUUGUUCUUUUGAUUUUCUAAGACAUCUGAUUCUCGCCAUAGAGUAGUUAACAGCCUGAUUCUCGCCAUAGAAUAGCUAACAUGGGGAUUUUUUAGCGGAAGAACUUCAAUUUCAUGACCUGGUUUUUAGAUUGAACGCUCGCAUAUGAGCGUCCCCCGUGGAUGACGAACAGAAGCUUUCUUUCUGGCAGGCAAAUCUAAGUUACUCAAAAGAACACACAGAUCUCGGUAAUGCUGGUGAUCUCAACAAGUGGGCAGCGACGCUUCUACGGUGCUCAAGAUGAACCACAAACGAAGAUGAUGAUUCACGAGGCAAUUAACAAACUAGAGAAAGCACUUGAAGUGUCAAAUCGAAACGACAAGACACUGUUCCUGUUAGGCAUUGCUCACUCUUCUUUGGGAGAUGAUACGAAGGCAGUUGGCUAUUUUAGAGAAGCACAAAAGAAAAAUCACGAAGAAAGGAUUUACAAACUUAGGUCGUUACCAGGCGACUACACAUGGCUUGCGAUUGGUGCUCUUAUAUGGUGCUUUGCGGUUGUCAAAAUUAUUUUUAAGAAGUAAGACUUGCUUUGUGUGUUGCCUAAUUAAACAAGAAAGGAGGAUGUUCUUCUGCUCUCUUUCUCUGUGACAAAGAGAGGUGUUGGUACUUGCUGCCAGCAAUAGAGAAUUGGAUCUCGAUGAAGCCAUCAAAGGAGGAUUGGCCAAAGACAAACUCGUAUUAUACAAGGGAAAGCCGGUAGCAGUGGAUUGCAUAACUUGUCAUGCUCCACAAUAA
This is a long non-coding RNA of Papaver somniferum (opium poppy), 779 nucleotides long. RefSeq lists it as uncharacterized. The record is from RefSeq and is a predicted model, not a curated record. The transcript has 3 exons. Lineage: Eukaryota; Viridiplantae; Streptophyta; Magnoliopsida; Ranunculales; Papaveraceae.